AAUCGCAGAUCAGAAUGCUGCGGUGAAUACGUUCCCGGGUCUUGUACACACCGCCCGUCACACCAUGGGAGUCGGAAAUGCCCGAAGUCAGUGGCCCAACCGCAAGGAGGGAGCUGCCGAAGGCAGGUCGGAUGACUGGGGUGAAGUCGUAACAAGGUAUC
RNAcentral lists this ribosomal RNA (161 nucleotides) under uncultured bacterium. Its description in RNAcentral is "partial 16S ribosomal RNA". It matches the Rfam family "Bacterial small subunit ribosomal RNA", at positions 1340 to 1500 of the family's 1533-position model. The record is from RNAcentral.